Molecule: ribosomal RNA, 476 nt
Filed under: uncultured organism
Description: partial 16S ribosomal RNA
Rfam family: Bacterial small subunit ribosomal RNA
Source: RNAcentral
ACGUACACUCCUGCGGGAGGCAGCAGUGGGGAAUAUUGCACAAUGGGCGCAAGCCUGAUGCAGCCAUGCCGCGUGUGUGAAGAAGGCCUUCGGGUUGUAAAGCACUUUCAGCGGGGAGGAAGGCGAUACGGUUAAUAACCGUGUUGAUUGACGUUACCCGCAGAAGAAGCACCGGCUAACUCCGUGCCAGCAGCCGCGGUAAUACGGAGGGUGCAAGCGUUAAUCGGAAUUACUGGGCGUAAAGCGCACGCAGGCGGUCUGUCAAGUCGGAUGUGAAAUCCCCGGGCUCAACCUGGGAACUGCAUUCGAAACUGGCAGGCUUGAGUCUUGUAGAGGGGGGUAGAAUUCCAGGUGUAGCGGUGAAAUGCGUAGAGAUCUGGAGGAAUACCGGUGGCGAAGGCGGCCCCCUGGACAAAGACUGACGCUCAGGUGCGAAAGCGUGGGGAGCAAACAGGAUUAGAUACCCGGGUAGUCCC